This 402-nucleotide ribosomal RNA is filed under the name uncultured bacterium. RNAcentral describes it as "bacterial SSU rRNA". It matches the Rfam family "Bacterial small subunit ribosomal RNA", at positions 355 to 774 of the family's 1533-position model. The record is from RNAcentral.
UGGGGAAUCUUGCACAAUGGGGGCAACCCUGAUGCAGCGACGCCGCGUGAGCGAUGAAGCCCUUCGGGGCGUAAAGCUCUUUCGACCGGAACGAUAAUGACGGUACCGGGAGAAGAAGCUGCGGCUAACUACGUGCCAGCAGCCGCGGUAAUACGUAGGCAGCAAGCGUUGUUCGGAGUUACUGGGCGUAACGAGUGCGUAGGCGGUUUUCUAAGUUCGGUGUGAAAUCUCCCGGCUUAACUGGGAGGGUGCGCCGAAGACUGGGAGGAUGGGGUGUGGGAAAGGCAGGCGGAAUUCCUGGUGUAGCGGUGAAAUGCGUAGAUAUCAGGAGGAACACCGGCGGUGUAGACGGCUUGCUAGACCCUAACUGACGCUGAGGCACGAAAGCGUGGGUAGCGAACA